RNAcentral lists this ribosomal RNA (253 nucleotides) under uncultured bacterium. Its description in RNAcentral is "partial 16S ribosomal RNA". It matches the Rfam family "Bacterial small subunit ribosomal RNA", at positions 524 to 776 of the family's 1533-position model. The record is from RNAcentral.
UACGAAGGGGGCUAGCGUUGCUCGGAAUGACUGGGCGCAAAGGGCGCGUAGGCGGCUCAUACAGUCAGAUGUGAAAUUCCUGGGCUUAACCUGGGGGCUGCAUUUGAUACGUGUGGGCUUGAGUGGGGAAGAGGGUCGUGGAAUUCCCAGUGUAGAGGUGAAAUUCGUAGAUAUUGGGAAGAACACCGGUGGCGAAGGCGGCGACCUGGUCCGUGACUGACGCUGAGGCGCGAAAGCGUGGGGAGCAAACAGG